UACGUACCGUACGAACGUUAUUCGGAAUUACUGGGCUUAAAGGGUUUGUAGGCGGCCACGUAAGUCAGGUGUGAAAUCCCUCGGCUCAACCGAGGAACGGCGCUUGAUACUGCGUGGCUUGAGGGAGACAGGGGUAAGCGGAACUGAUGGUGGAGCGGUGAAAUGCGUUGAUAUCAUCAGGAACACCGGUGGCGAAAGCGGCUUACUGGGUCUCUUCUGACGCUGAGGAACGAAAGCUAGGGUAGCGAACGGG
RNAcentral lists this ribosomal RNA (253 nucleotides) under uncultured bacterium. RNAcentral describes it as "partial 16S ribosomal RNA". It matches the Rfam family "Bacterial small subunit ribosomal RNA", at positions 524 to 776 of the family's 1533-position model. The record is from RNAcentral.